GAUGAACGCUGGCGGCGUGCCUAAUACAUGCAAGUCGAGCGAACAGACGAGGAGCUUGCUCCACUGACGUUAGCGGCGGACGGGUGAGUAACACGUGGAUAACCUACCUAUAAGACUGGGAUAACUUCGGGAAACCGGAGCUAAUACCGGAUAAUAUAUUGAACCGCAUGGUUCAAUAGUGAAAGACGGUUUUGCUGUCACUUAUAGAUGGAUCCGCGCCGCAUUAGCUAGUUGGUAAGGUAACGGCUUACCAAGGCAACGAUGCGUAGCCGACCUGAGAGGGUGAUCGGCCUCACUGGAACUGAGACACGGUCCAGACUCCUACGGGAGGCAGCAGUGGGGAAUUUUCCGCAAUGGGCGAAAGCCUGACGGAGCAACGCCGCGUGAGUGAUGAAGGUCUUCGGAUCGUAAACCUCUGUUAUUAGGGAAGAACAAAUGUGUAAGUAACUAUGCACGUCUUGACGGUACCUAAUCAGAAAGCCACGGCUAACUACGUG
This 497-nucleotide ribosomal RNA is filed under the name uncultured bacterium. RNAcentral's name for it is "partial 16S ribosomal RNA". It matches the Rfam family "Bacterial small subunit ribosomal RNA", at positions 28 to 507 of the family's 1533-position model. The record is from RNAcentral.